AGGACGAACGCUGGCGGCGUGCUUAACACAUGCAGGUCGAGCGACAGCACCUUUCGGGGUGCAUGGAGCGGCGAACGGGUGAGUAACACGUGGGCAACCUGCCCUCAGCUCUGGGACAACUCCGGGAAACCGGGGCUAAUACCGGAUACGACCUUCCCUCGCAUGGGGGUUGUGGAAAGUUCUUCGGCUGAGGAUGGGCCCGCGGCCUAUCAGCUUGUUGGUGGGGUGAAGGCCUACCAAGGCGACGACGGGU
RNAcentral lists this ribosomal RNA (253 nucleotides) under uncultured soil bacterium. RNAcentral's name for it is "partial 16S ribosomal RNA". It matches the Rfam family "Bacterial small subunit ribosomal RNA", at positions 26 to 284 of the family's 1533-position model. The record is from RNAcentral.